Long non-coding RNA from Brachypodium distachyon (stiff brome), 1004 nucleotides. RefSeq lists it as uncharacterized. The transcript has 2 exons. The record is from RefSeq and is a predicted model, not a curated record. NCBI's taxonomy places the organism in Eukaryota, Viridiplantae, Streptophyta, Magnoliopsida, Poales, Poaceae.
AACUUUACAGGAUAUAUAUAUCAUGUCAUCGCGUAAUGCCGUGAUCUGAUCGCGGGCUCCUCCAUUAGAUUGUUGGUGCUCGGCGCAAUUCCGGCGUACGGUCGUCUUUGGCCAAUCUAUUGGUAAAGGGACGAAUCGUACGUGCGGGCGAGAAGAUAAUGACAUCUCUGCAAUCAUGUUUCUUUCUGCUUGUUUUUGAGUCCCAAUUGCAGUGGAGAUCGACUGGAGAGUGGUCAGGUUACAUUGUACCCAAAUCCACAGGUGCUCACGCAUAUCAGGGAGUAUCAGCAAAGGAAGAGGAAGCACAGAUCGGCUCAAAAGGCGACAUGAUUACAUGCAUCCGUGCAAAUCCUAUGGAACUCCAAAAUAUGACUUGCGCCAUGAUCAUUGCUAGAACUAGUAUUGAGAUAACGGCAUCACGCAUCCAGUUCGACCGAUCCCGGUACGCAGCUCCUUGCAGGCCUGCAGCUAGCGUGCCAAAAAAGUCUGAACCACAUCAUUUCCAUUGCAAAAGGCACACCAUCUUUAUAAGAUUCUUUAUCAGCAGCAAUCUAUGAAAUGGAUUUCCGGUUUUGAGAGGCCCGCGGCCAAGUUCGUCACCUUCAUGGACAUGCCAUGAAUUUUAACAGGUGGAUCUAGAAAAUAAAAGGCAAAUCCACGUGAAGAGGCUAGGAAUUCGUGGCAGAUGCAGUUUUGCUCUUUGGCUUUCUUCAUCAGUGGUAGGUCCUUCCUCAAGGUGCGCUGGAGUGAGCCCUGCACUCAUCAAUCUCUCUAUAUAAAAAUCUGUUCUUGGAUUAAUAAAAUGAUUAUCAUAUCCAUGUAGUUGGGGUUCAAAGUUCAUAGUACUUAGUGGCAGCAGUAUCGUCCAAAUUCUGAAGCCUAUCAAGUUGGCAACCUUUUUCGUUUGAAACUUAUCAACUUGGCAACUUUGUAGUUCUAUCAAUCAGGCACCAAGAGAACAGACUGUAGCUUAAAGUUCGGAUAAAGGAGAUCCAUCAAAUCGG